This 251-nucleotide ribosomal RNA is filed under the name uncultured prokaryote. Its description in RNAcentral is "partial 16S rRNA". It matches the Rfam family "Bacterial small subunit ribosomal RNA", at positions 525 to 775 of the family's 1533-position model. The record is from RNAcentral.
ACGGAGGAUCCGGGCGUUAUCCGGAAUUACUGGGUUUAAAGGGUGCGUAGGCGGAGCCUUAAGUCGGCGGUGUACUGCGGCAGCUCAACUGCCGGACUGCCGUUGAGACUGGGGAUCUUGGAUUCGGUUGGGGCAGGCGGAACUCGUGGUGUAGCGGUGAAAUGCAUAGAUAUCACGAGGAACGCCGAUGGCGAAGGCAGCUCACCGGGCCGUUAUUGACGCUGAGGCGCGAAAGCGUGGGGAUCGAACAG